This 117-nucleotide ribosomal RNA is filed under the name Companilactobacillus suantsaicola. Its description in RNAcentral is "bacterium BCRC 81127 partial 23S ribosomal RNA". It matches the Rfam family "Bacterial large subunit ribosomal RNA", at positions 2811 to 2925 of the family's 2925-position model. The record is from RNAcentral. Lineage: Bacteria; Bacillati; Bacillota; Bacilli; Lactobacillales; Lactobacillaceae.
UUCCCAUUCCUUUAUGGAAGUAAGAUCCGUUAAAGAUGAUGACGUAGAUAGGCUGCGGGUGGAAGAGUAGUGAUACUUGGAGCUGAGCAGUACUAAUAGAUCGAGGACUUAACCGAG